UUACUACUUCCUCCGUCCCAUAUUAAGUGACUCAAAUUUGUCCAAAACAUGCAUGUAUCUAUGCUUAAAAAGCAUCUAGAUACAUGUAAUAGAAAGUCACUUAAUAUAGGACGGAGGGAGUCUUUA
Molecule: non-coding RNA, 126 nt
Organism: Brachypodium distachyon (stiff brome)
Lineage: Eukaryota; Viridiplantae; Streptophyta; Magnoliopsida; Poales; Poaceae
Source: Rfam